AAAACAUCCUCCCACCUCAGCCUCCCAAGUAGCUGGGAAUACAGGAGAGGAAGAAACAAGGCACAGGGGAGCUUGAGUACCUGGGACUGGCCUGUGAUGAAGCUGGGAUCUCACUGCAGUUAGAUGUGCUGGGGAUUAAACUGUGCCUGGGAAUUUGCAUUCCAGAAGAGAAGGAUAUUGAACUAGAAGGAUAGGUUUGCAAGUGAAUACUGUAUUAAGAUGUGAAUUUGUGGGUGGCAGUGCUCUUGUAUUUGUCCCUGUUUUCAUCUCCAGCCAGGUGGCUAAACC
This is a long non-coding RNA of Homo sapiens (human), 288 nucleotides long. RefSeq lists it as uncharacterized. The record is from RefSeq and is a predicted model, not a curated record. The transcript is spliced from 3 exons. NCBI's taxonomy places the organism in Eukaryota, Metazoa, Chordata, Mammalia, Primates, Hominidae.